GGUGUGGAAUUAUCGUCUUUUCUUUCAUGUUAAUAGACAGAAUAGUUGAACACGAGUUGUUAUGAGUGUAUCAGAGCUUUCGCCAUACGUGCUAUCGGGCUGAGAACUAGAGCGCGCGAGGUGCAAAGGCGGCUGCUGCCUGAAGCAUGACGCGCGGAACACGCCUCUACAGAUGACCUUCAAUGUCAAGGAGCCUUGCUGCGAUUCGCUUCUUUUUGCUGGCUCAGGACUCAGUUUGGUGGAGGCUGGGUUUCUUCGUUCCUUUCGUUUCAGGUAAGUUUUUCAUGUCAGUAUUUUUCCCGUACUUGCAUGAAAUGCACGAAAAACAUGAGAGUACACGAAAAAAAAAAAAAGAAACAAA
Rhipicephalus microplus (southern cattle tick) is the source of this 361-nucleotide long non-coding RNA. The record is from RefSeq and is a predicted model, not a curated record. NCBI's taxonomy places the organism in Eukaryota, Metazoa, Arthropoda, Arachnida, Ixodida, Ixodidae.